CUUGCCUCGUGGUUGACAGGGAGCGGAGAGAGUUGGAGGACAGAGUGGAUCAGAGACGAUUCGGGGACUAGAGAGCCUGUAGUCCAGCUGUCCGGAGAGGAGAGCUGUGGAGCCGGGAAACGUAUGAUCUGAGAAGGUGUGUUGGUGUCCUCCUUUCUGCUGCUGCUGCUGCCAGGAUGCAGUUCUCAGUCAAAUUGAGCGUCUGCCUGCUGGGCUUGGUUUUCGUCUCUCAGUUCCCUCAGCCAGCGCGGGGCCAAGUUUCGUCCCCGCGGAGAUUUCGCUCCAAAGUCCUGAGCCCCACCAAGCUGCACGCGUCGUGGAAAGAGCCCAAAGGAGCGUUUGACGGCUACAAGGUCAUUUACACGACGCAG
Long non-coding RNA from Notolabrus celidotus (New Zealand spotty), 371 nucleotides. RefSeq lists it as uncharacterized. The transcript is spliced from 3 exons. Lineage: Eukaryota; Metazoa; Chordata; Actinopteri; Labriformes; Labridae. The record is from RefSeq and is a predicted model, not a curated record.